UUCCGGUUGAUCCUGCCGGACCCGACUGCUAUCAGAGUGGGACUAAGCCAUGCGAGUCAACAUAGCAAUAUGUGGCAUACGGCUCAGUAACACGUAGUCAACAUGCCCAGGGGACGUGGAUAACCUCGGGAAACUGAGGAUAAACCGCGAUAGGUCAUCACUUCUGGAAUGGGUAAUGACUUAAAUCUAUAUGGCCCCUGGAUUGGACUGCGGCCGAUCAGGCUGUUGGUGAGGUAAUGGCCCACCAAACCUGUAACCGGUACGGGCUCUGAGAGGAGGAGCCCGGAGAUGGGCACUGAGACAAGGGCCCAGGCCCUAUGGGGCGCAGCAGGCGCGAAACCUCUGCAAUAGGCGAAAGCUUGACAGGGUUACUCUGAGUGAUUUCCGUUAAGGAGAUCUUUUGGCACCUCUAAAAAUGGUGCAGAAUAAGGGGUGGGCAAGUCUGGUGUCAGCCGCCGCGGUAAUACCAGCACCCCGAGUGGUCGGGACGUUUAUUGGGCCUAAAGCAUCCGUAGCCGGUUCUACAAGUCUUCCGUUAAAUCCACCUGCUUAACAGAUGGGCUGCGGAAGAUACUAUAGAGCUAGGAGGCGGGAGAGGCAAGCGGUACUCGAUGGGUAGGGGUAAAAUCCGUUGAUCCAUUGAAGACCACCAGUGGCGAAGGCGGCUUGCCAGAACGCGCUCGACGGUGAGGGAUGAAAGCUGGGGGAGCAAACCGGAUUAGAUACCCGGGUAGUCCCAGCUGUAAACGAUGCAGACUCGGUGAUGAGUUGGCUUAUUGCUAACUCAGUGCCGCAGGGAAGCCGUUAAGUUUGCCGCCUGGGGAGUACGGUCGCAAGACUGAAACUUAAAGGAAUUGGCGGGGGAGCACCACAAGGGGUGAAGCCUGCGGUUCAAUUGGAGUCAACGCCGGA
RNAcentral lists this ribosomal RNA (912 nucleotides) under uncultured archaeon. Its description in RNAcentral is "bacterial SSU rRNA". It matches the Rfam family "Archaeal small subunit ribosomal RNA", at positions 1 to 922 of the family's 1478-position model. The record is from RNAcentral.